UUAACGUAUUAAAAUAGUACUCGGACAACACUAAAUACAGGGUUUGGGUCUUCUGGCAGGCACGCCUCAGCCGAAGCCGAGCGCCCGAGGGCGGCCUGCCAAAGCAACAAUCGUAAUAACACAGGGUGGGAGGUCUACCCCGUUAAGGGCAUGAUCUCAGUAAUGAUCCUUCCGCUGGUUCACCAACGGAAA
This 192-nucleotide unclassified non-coding RNA is filed under the name uncultured fungus. RNAcentral describes it as "sequence contains ITS1". The record is from RNAcentral. Lineage: Eukaryota; Fungi.